UUUGGCAGAAAAGAAUGACUUUGUGAUCUUCCUGUUUACAUUGAUGACAAGUAAGAAGACAUUCUUACAAACAGCAACCCUCAUUGAAGAUAUUUUGGGUGUUAAAAAGGAAAUGAUCCGACUAGAUGAAGUCCCCAAUCUGAGUUCCUUAGUAUCCAAUUUCGAUCAGCAGCAGCUCGCUAAUUUCUGCCGGAUUCUGGCUGUCACCAUUUCAGAGAUGGAUACAGGGAAUGAUGACAAGCACACGCUUCUUGCCAAAAAUGCUCAACAGAAGAAGAGCUUGAGUUUGGGGCCUUCUGCAGCUGAAAUCAAUCAAGCGGCCCUUCUCAGCAUUCCUGGCUUUGUUGAGCGGCUUUGCAAACUGGCGACUCGAAAGGUGUCAGAGUCAACGGGCACAGCCAGCUUCCUUCAGGAGUUGGAAGAGUGGUACACAUGGCUAGACAAUGCUUUGGUGCUAGAUGCCCUGAUGCGAGUGGCCAAUGAGGAGUCAGAGCACAAUCAAGGUAUGGAAGGGUGGGUCCCCUGAGUGAUCGGGAGCUUUUCCUUGGGCGCCUGGGACCAUUCUUGCUCUUCUU
This 575-nucleotide long non-coding RNA is filed under the name Gorilla gorilla gorilla (western lowland gorilla). RNAcentral describes it as "lncRNA (ENSGGOG00000044662.1)". The record is from RNAcentral. Lineage: Eukaryota; Metazoa; Chordata; Mammalia; Primates; Hominidae.